Molecule: ribosomal RNA, 253 nt
Filed under: uncultured bacterium
Lineage: Bacteria
Description: partial 16S ribosomal RNA
Rfam family: Bacterial small subunit ribosomal RNA
Source: RNAcentral
UACGAAGGGGGCUAGCGUUGUUCGGAAUCACUGGGCGUAAAGCGCACGUAGGCGGAUUUGUAAGUCAGGGGUGAAAUCCCGGGGCUCAACCUCGGAACUGCCUUUGAUACUGCGAAUCUAGAGUCCGAUAGAGGUGGGUGGAAUUCCUAGUGUAGAGGUGAAAUUCGUAGAUAUUAGGAAGAACACCGGUGGCGAAGGCGGCCCACUGGAUCGGUACUGACGCUGAGGUGCGAAAGCGUGGGGAGCAAACAGG